This 261-nucleotide ribosomal RNA is filed under the name uncultured archaeon. RNAcentral describes it as "partial 16S ribosomal RNA". It matches the Rfam family "Archaeal small subunit ribosomal RNA", at positions 748 to 1008 of the family's 1478-position model. The record is from RNAcentral.
CAGCCGUAAACUAUGCUCGCUCGGUGUCAGGCAUGGCGCGACCGUGUCUGGUGCCGCAGGGAAGCCGUGAAGCGAGCCACCUGGGAAGUACGGCCGCAAGGCUGAAACUUAAAGGAAUUGGCGGGGGAGCACAACAACGGGUGGAGCCUGCGGUUUAAUUGGACUCAACGCCGGACAACUCACCGGGGACGACAGCAAUAUGUAGGCCAGGCUGAAGACCUUGCCUGAAUCGCUGAGAGGAGGUGCAUGGCGUCAGUGACU